RNAcentral lists this non-coding RNA (180 nucleotides) under Andreesenella acetica. The record is from RNAcentral. Lineage: Bacteria; Bacillati; Bacillota; Clostridia; Peptostreptococcales; Natronincolaceae.
UACUAUAUAAAAACAUAAGGUGCCUUUGAAAGAAGGUGAAAAGGGAAAGUGGUGAAAAACCACUACAGCCCCCGCUACUGUAAUUGGUGACGAAAUCUGAUAAUACCAUUGGGAAACCGAGAAGGUCAGAAAGUAGGAGGAACCAUGAGUCAGGAAACCUGCCUUGUGUAAAAAAAGCAA